AGAGAGAGACAUGCGCGCAUAUCAAUAAGCGGAGGAAAAGAAACUAACUAGGAUUCCCUCAGUAACGGCGAGUGAAGCGGGAAGAGCUCAAAUUUGAAAUCUUCAAGGUUUUACCUUGACGAAUUGUAGUUUAAAGAAGUGUUUUCUGUUGAAGUUUUGGUAAAAGUUCUUUGGAAUAGGACAUCAUAGAGGGUGAGGAUCCCGUAUUUGACCAUUAUUUCCAGCUGUGUGAUACACUUUCAAAGAGUCGGAUUGUUUGGGAAUGCAGUCCAAAAUGGGUGGUAAAUUUCAUCUAAAGCUAAAUACUGGCGAGAGACCGAUAGCGAACAAGUACCGUGAGGGAAAGAUGAAAAGAACUUUGAAAAGAGAGUUAAACAGUACGUGAAAUUGUCAAAAGGGAAGCGUUUGACACCAGUGUUGUUUUCUCGAAAAUCAAUUAAAAAAGGCAGGAUUUUGUGUUGUAUUGACUUUAUCAGCUUUCUGCACUCUUUUCUUGUCUUUUUUAAAUGCACUUUUCGUUUGACAAGUCAACAUCAAUUUCUUUUGUUGUAAAAGGGUCAUUGGAAGGUGGCUUUCUUUUCGGAGAAAGUGUUUAUAGCCUUUGGCCUCUGCAAUCGGAGAGAUUGAGGUCUGCAGCGUAGAUCCUUCGGGGUUAGAUACAUUUGUGCUAAGUUAUAGCCUUUCAUAGACAACUUGUUGACUAUGAUCAGUCAUGUAGCUUACUCGCUUAUGCUAUUUUACCUACGCUUAGGAUGUUGAUGUGAUACUGCGAGCA
RNAcentral lists this ribosomal RNA (775 nucleotides) under uncultured Neocallimastigales. RNAcentral describes it as "partial large subunit ribosomal RNA". It matches the Rfam family "Eukaryotic large subunit ribosomal RNA", at positions 23 to 643 of the family's 3401-position model. The record is from RNAcentral. Lineage: Eukaryota; Fungi; Neocallimastigomycota; Neocallimastigomycetes; Neocallimastigales.